RNAcentral lists this long non-coding RNA (13642 nucleotides) under Lathyrus oleraceus (garden pea). RNAcentral's name for it is "Pisum sativum (pea) long non-coding RNA (PSAT_LNC032498)". Lineage: Eukaryota; Viridiplantae; Streptophyta; Magnoliopsida; Fabales; Fabaceae. The record is from RNAcentral.
CCUCAACUUCUUAACUCUGUUAACACCGCAAAAUCGCUUGGAUGAUACACUACUCUUCAAUCCCAUAAUACCCAAAUCAUAACUCCUCUGAAACUUCAACUGGGCCAUCAAGUUCUCCUUACUUUCUAACUCUUGGCUUGAGCCUAUUCUCAAAGCAACAAGUUCAAACCCACGCUCGGAGUCCUCAUGGUCGCUCAACCAUGAUCCUACCGUACAUGCACAUAAUAUUAGGUUGAUCAGGCCCAUACUAUAUACAGUGAUUAGAAGCAAUUGUUGGCUAAACACACAUUUGAGGCAGGAAUAGAUUUACUUAUGAUUUUCAAGGCUAGGUCGAGAAUCGACCUGCUCUGAUACAACUGUAACAACCGUAUAAUAUAUAUCUAGAAUAAUAUCAUUACAAGUGUUUAAUUUUGGUACUGUCACAACAUAGUGCCUAAUAGCAUCAAUAUAUAUACAUGUCCAAACAAAACAUGCAUGGAACAUGUUUUAUCAAUAAUGCCUAAACAAUAAAAAAAAAAAUCUAGAACUAUGUACAAUAUCUUCAUUGCACAUUAACUCACAGCGGAAGAUCAUACAAUGAACAGCAACCCUUGAAACAUCCAUAAUAGUUUCUCUUGAUCCAACCUGAUAAGACAUACCUGAAAAAUAACAACAAUGAUGGGAUGAGAUAUACUAUCAUCGUGAGUUCUCCUACUCCAUUGGGUCACUCGCGCUCAUCUACAGGUUUAAUCAAUGUUCAAUCAUAUCCAACUCAAGUCAACAAGGGAACGAAGACUUGAGCGAUGGGGAACUAUCUCGCAAUGUAUGGCAACAUGCAUCUGAGUUCUCAUACUCACACGAUCAUUUUUCAGAUUCACGCAACACGAUCCCCACCGGACCUACGUCUAGGCCAAGCUUGGUUCACGCAUUCCGUUAUGAUUCGACUUUCGCGGUGGAUAUCCGGUUCCCCUAUGUGACUUAACCACUUUAAGAACCAUCACCUGCUACGGGCACUCUAACCCACCUAGGGUAUCUUUCACCGUAUGGACUCUAACCCCAUAGUGUCCAUUCGCCCGUGUCCGCCAUGGUUGGGACUGCAAUCCAUUUCGAGGCUCGAUAUUGUCCCAUCCAAGUUCACGUUAAGCAUACCAAUAGGAUGAUUUGUACCUCACAGAAAAAAACACACAUUCCUGAUACAUGAUCGUUCCACAAAACAUUGGUUCGACGAACCAUAACCAAAUUCAUCAAUCAUAGGUGACUUCAUUCACCAUAUAUACACAAUAAUAAUAUAUACACAAAUAAUAACAUGGAUGUUCCAUACAAUGCGUCUCAUUCUCAAUCAUGGCAACAAUUCGCUCCACGACCUCACAUUAAGCGUCGUACGAAAUGAAUACCGUAUCUCAUACAUGUAUCUCACAUUUCCAUAAUCUAGAUUAUACUCUUCUAAGUUAUUAUCAAAUUAUUCUUCUAGGUUUCCUCCACUCAUCUUUGAUAAUUUUUAAUUGCUGUUUAUUUCACCUUCCACAAACAACAAUAUUCAAUUUUCAUCAUGAUAAAAUUCAUGGCAUUUAUAAUCACAUAAUAUUUUAUAACAUGGAACAAUAAUAAUAGCCCUUUACGUUAUCUUUCUAACGCAUCCGGCCAUGUCCAAACGGAGGUAUAAUACUCAAUUAAUUCAUCAAUCUACCUAAUCAAGAUUUAGGUUAAUAUUUAUUCAUUGCAUAAGCAUUCAACACAACCUCUCUAGCCUAGUGGUAAGGCAUGUACAGUUCCAGUGGAGGUCCUGGGUUCGAACCCCACUGCAGACAAAUUCUGCACAGACAGAAGAAUUUAACUCCAAUUUCCAUUAAUUCUCUCCGUUUCAAACAACCAACCAACACGAAGUUCAUAUAUUAAUCAUCAAUUUAACAAACAUGUAUAUAUAUAUAUCAUAAAUUCCUAACUCCCAAUUUCAUGAAUUUAUCCCAAAGCUAUAACUAAACUAAGAACUCACCUAGAAGAAGAACGAAUGAAGUUGUGGAUGAUGAAGAUGAGAUGAUGGUGGUGGUGGCUCCUUCCUCUUUUUCCUUUCUCUUUCUUUCUCUUUCUCUUUUCCUCUUCUCUACUCUUCCUUUCUUCUUUUCUUUCUUCCUGAUAACCCUUCACUCUCUUACCCACUUCUCUUCUUAUCUUUUUCUUCUUCUUUCUACACCACACAACUAUAUAACAUAUAAAUAUAUAUAAUAUAUAAUAUUAAGUAGUCACAUAAAAUAUCCCAAGUGAUUAUUCAUCUUCCAACACCAAUUGACCAAUUAUUAAUGUACCAAAGAUGCCCUCUCUUGUACUUAUUAAUAUUGGUCUGUCUCUUUUAUUAAUAAUUAAUCCCUUCAGAGUUCACCGUUACUCUAUUGGUCCCAAUUGACAACAUUUAGAGCACAUAGGAGCUCCAAUGUUACAAAUGAUAAUAGGUAAUUUACAUAGAGGACUCAAUGAUCUCAACUGAUAACUAAUUGAUCAUUUAAGGAAUAUGGAUAUUACAGGUUCCACUUUAUGAAUCCCCACUUUUUGUCAUGAGUCACCCUGUCAAGGGUUAGAGCUAUGAGGUCUUAUCCUCAUUACCUUUUGGUCUGCUCACCCUGACGCUCAAUGUCAGUGGUUUAAAUAGCCCAUUUGAUUACCUAUUUCCAUGCGCUGUUUGUCGAGGUUGAUAUGGACCCCUCUUGACUAAAGCCCUACCCAGUAUGUUUUAGCCCCCUUGUUGCGCAUGUUACUUUAUGCAUGUUUGUUUUGUAUGGUUGAUCGCUCUCCCAUAGGAUUGCUAGGCUUCGUAUAGUCUCUCGUUGCAUGUCAAUUAAGGUAGCACUGUUCCUUCGUCUAGGACUUCCUUUUACAGGGGCAUCCUAAAACACAAACAAACUCAUUGAUUUUUCUUCUCCUAAGAACACAUUAACUCCUUCUAUUACAGGCGAGUAAGUCUCUAAAGGUCGAGCAUCGGUAGAUUGGCUAUAACUGCAGUCUAGUCACGUCGUCAUCUAACAUAAACACAACCCUUAACCUAGGUGCCGAACUACAGUUUGCUUCUGAUUUCUCAUUCCAGAUGCAAUCCGUAGCAUAAACGCCGAUGCUUCGGCUUAGGAGCACAAACUCCCUUUAACCCAAUACGUAAGCCGACAGCUGACGAAAGAACUCAUGCCAUUCUCAUAUUCAGAUGAGAUACGUAUGCAGUGGAUGCGACAUCCGUGCGAGUCAUUUUCUUUUGACCCCUCUUUUAGUAAAUAGUACAUUAGAUAAACCCACACCCUUUAGACAAGAACAACAAGAGUGGAUCCCGUAUAGUACUACGUAUGAGUAGGGGUGCUAAUACCUUCCCUUCGCAUAAUCGACUCCCGAACCCAAGAUUUAGUUGCGAGACCUUGUCUUUUCCUUUCCUUUUUCCAGGUUUACUUCGAGCGUUUCCUUUCCCUCCUUUGGGAUAAAUAACGCACGGUGGCGACUCUUCUGUCAUUUCUUUCUCGCCGGUUAUUUUUUCGCAUUUCCUUUUUCAGGUUGCGACAAUCCUGAAUGUCAUACAAAUAGAAUUAAGUUGACCAGGCUCAAUACUAUGAAUAUAACAUUAAGGACAACGAUGACAACCCACAAAUGAGGCAGAAAGAAAUACUUAUAAUAUCUCAUGGAUAGGUCGAGGAUACAACCUGCUCUGAUACCAAUUGUAACACCCACAUAUAAUGUCUAGAAUACAUAUUAUACAUAGUGUAAUAUUGGUACUGAAAUACAUAAGCGCCUAGCGACAACAAUGUAUAUUUUACAUGCCCAAAAGACAACACUACAUGGCACAAAAUAUACACAAAAGUGCCCAAAAUAAACUAGGAGCUAGAUUAUUGUAGACUGAUCUCAAAAGUAUCUACACAACGGAGAAGCCAUCCAAGACACAAGGUAAGCAGGACAUCACUCUACCUUGUUCUUACCCUUCGCCUGAUCGAAACUGCCUAAAAAAUAAUCAACAACAUGGGAUGAGAUAAUAAUCCUAGUAAGUUCCCUAUCUUAUGGGUCCACCCGGCUCUACAGGGUUCUCUAAUCAAUAUCCAACUUAAGUCAACAAGGGAAAGAAGACUUAAGUGAUGGGGAACUAACUCGCAAUGUAUGGCAACAUGCUCCAGAGUUCUCUCAACUCAAAAUAAGAUCACUGUUCAGAUUCAAGAAACAUCAAUCCCUGAACGGACCUACGUCUAGGGCAAGCCCAGUUUAUGCAUGCUCGUAUGAUUCGACUUUCGUGGUGGAUAUCAGGUCCUCUAUGAGUUCAAAACUCAAUUCAAGCGACCGUCACCCGUAUGUGACUCUAACCCACUUAGGGUAUCUUUCACUGUAUGGGACUCUAACCCACUUAGGUGUCCACCUUUCCCCCAUGUCCCUCAUGGUUGAGGCUCAAACCCAAUUGAGGCACGAAUCAUUGGUAUCACAUCCUAUUGCUUACUCAUCUAAGCAUAUCAAAUAGGGAUGUGCACCACCAAGGGCAAAACAUUCUAAAUACGUGAUCGGUUCCACAAAGCAUAACAAGAUUCAUCAAUCAUAUGUGACUUUAUUCACCAAUAUACAAGCAAUAACAUUGCAUGUUCCAUACAAAGUGUCUCACUCUUAACUAUGGCAACCAUUCAUUUACGACCUCCACAUAAGCAUCGUACGAAUGAAUGUCACCUUCUAAUGUUAUCUAAAUUAUAAGUCUAACUUAUGGCCUAAUAUAAAUCACUAGGUUAACUCACUAGAUUCAAUACGUAAUUCUCACAUUUAACAUUGAUUCAAUACAAGUAUAACAUGACAAAUGGUUAAUGGUUGAUGAAAUGCACUUAGAAACAUUAAAGAAAUGAAUUUUGAAGUUUUCGGUAUAAGCCAAUCGAUUAGUUGGGGAAGCCCAAUCGAUUAGUUCAUCUUAUAUUUAUGUUUUUCAAAGAAUACAGAGGAUCAAUCGAUUGAUCCUCAAUUGGCACCUGAGAAAUUUCCAGUUUUCCAAAACAUAAAGUUUGUGCAAUCGAUUGGAGUCCCCUGUCAAUCGAUUGGUCCUGCAAAGUUUUCCUUUUCUUUAAAACAGAAAGUUUGUGUAAUCGAUUGGAGCUAAGGACCAAUUGAUUGGUCCCAACCCAUUUCCACAUUUUCACACACAAAACUUCAUUUCCUCUGUACCACAAAAUGGUCUUCAACCUGCAUAAUGUUUGCUUCACUUCUAACUACCAAUCUAUUGACAUGAACAUAACAACACAUCAACAAACUUCCAAACAACAACCACAUCAUUAUAUCACAAGAAUCCAAUAAACGCAAGAACACACAUAGAGAAAACAUCAAUGAGGAUUCACAUGAUUCAUAGAGAAAUUCAUCAUAAUAUCAUCUAUCUUACUAUCAAUUCCAUGAUUUAUCCACCCUAACUUCUAAGUCUAGAGCUCUACCUAGAACCCACCUUAAGAAUGAAAGAGGAGGUUGAAUAAGAUGAUGAGACGAGAUGGUGAUGAAGUGAUGAUGAUGGAUUCUAAGUUUUUCUUCCUCCUUCUUCUUUCCACUAGCUUGUUUCCUCUUCUUAUCUUGAGCUUCUUCUUCCUUCCACUAGCUUGUCUGAUACACAGAGAAAAUGAAAUGGUACAAGGGUAGUUGGUAAGAGACCACUAGUGAGAACAUGUGGACAACAAGCCAUGAAGCGUUGCGUGGUUAGAAAGUGGGUAGGAGUAGUAGAAAGAAAUAUCUUGAGUGAUACCACACUUAGAUAAUUGUUCUACCAGAGCUAUUGACUCAUUAUUAGUGUUAUCAAAAUGUCCCAAUUAAUAAAAGGUCAGUCCCAAUUAAUAUUAAUUAAGUCAAUCUGAAUUCAUUAUUUACUCUAUUUAUCCCAACUGAUAACUUUUAGAGCACAUAGGAACUCAAAUAAUCUCAAUUAAUAGGAAUUUGAGUAUUUAAGGAAAUACGGGGUAUUACAUAAGGAGUCUUAGGCUUAGGCCUUGAGAAAAUCAGAGUCUUUUCAUUAUCCUCUGAGCUUUCGACUUCAGUCAUAUCUUAUGUGGGUUUUGGAGUAGCCUAUUGGAAAAAGAUUGUUUAGUUUUACUUCCAUCGAAGCCAUCAAAGGAGAAAUCAAAAUGCAUAUUUGUGUUGUGGUAAUAUUUUUGGAUUUCUUUUUCUUCUUGGUUUUGGUAGUUGCAAGGGAGUCGUGGUCGCGUUUUCGAUUAUGAAUAAAAAGCAAUGUUAGAACCAUUUCGAAGAUCGACUAAAUAUAAAGAAAGAAAAACUUGCCUUUUUCUGUUGACGUUCUUCUUUUUUCUUCUCUUCACCUGCAUUAGAGGGGCCUUCGGCAUUUGUGUCACCCUUUGUUGUAGUCUCAUCUCCAAUGGAAACAUGUGAGAAAUCGAAGGUAUUAAGGAAAAAAAAUUAAAUAAUUAAAUAUAUACCUAUUUUCUUCUUUGGGUUGUCUUGUAAGCUAGAGAAGGUAUUUGACAACCUUUUGUAAAAAAAUUGUUCAGAAAAGUGGUCUUGAAAGUAACUUGUCCAUCAUUUGUCGAAUUUCAUUGUUAGAAAUAAAGAUGGAUGGAAGUGGAAAGUAGGCAAUGAGAGAACUUGUUGAUGAGCGAACACCAUGCAGUCUCUAUAUUCCUUUGGAGUAAAAUUCCUGUAUGACUAUCAAAUGUCGUUCUCCCAAGAGUAGAGUGAGCAUGACAACGUUUGGCUAAAACCAAAUUGUCUAGCUAUUAGAUUGGGUUGAUAGCCAAUGAAGCCAAAGCCAGUGGUUCCAGUUUUAAUUUGAGUGGAAAUGAGUGUCAGAGUUAAAAAAGUUACCCAGACGGAGUUUGACAUUGCAACAGUUGAAGGGGUUACACCAGAUAAUUUGUUUCGAAACCAAGAUAGACCACAAGACCUAUCUACAAAAUGAGCCAUGGUCGAAAUGAAAGUUUUUGAUUCAAGGAAAAGGUUGAUGUAUUUCAUGAAGGUUAUCUCUGAGGGGUUUCCAUGAGGGGUAACUAUAGAAAGUCUGGUGCCUUCGAUGCUUCUGCAAUUGGUUUCUUCCAGCAAUGCUUUCGACUGAUUUACAUGCAACUUAGGUUCAAAUGCAACACUUAACCAGAGUUGUAAAAGUCAUAGAGGGACGAAGAUGAGGUAUAACUUGUUAUUUUUAAGGAGGUGUUUAAUUUAUAGGAAACAUUUCCAAGUGAUUGAUAUAAAUUGGCUAAAAGUAGCUUAGCCAAUGAUAUAUUUCAAUCUUCAUGAAGUUGGAUUGCUAGAGGGACAUAUUUUUGAGCUAUCUGUAAAGAACCUGAACAUAAAACAUAAUACGAGAGCCAAAGGGCCGAGAAGGCAAUGUGUUCUUGAUCGAAGACCUCUUUGUUUUUCUUGUCAUGGUGGUUGAUAAUGAAGUUUUUGAAGCUAAAACGUUCGAAAACAAAUUCGUGGUCAGUUUCUAUGGUGGGGGUAAAAAUUUCGCCAAGAGGGUUCAUUCCCAUGAUAGCUGCUACGUCGAUCAAGGUUGGAGUAACCAUUCCACAAGGGAACCGAAAAGUGUUAGUCAAACCUUCCCAAAAUAAAAUUGAUGCAAUAAGCAUGGUUGAGUUAUGCCUAGGGCCAAUUCUAGAGAUUUGAAUAAUAUCGAAUAUGCAUAGGUCUUCCCAUAACUUUUGUCUUUUGCUUUCAACUUUAUUGAGCCAAGCAAGAUACUCUUUGCUUUGGGUAGGAGGCGGAGAUUGAAAGACACACGCAAAUGUUUCCAUGAAGGAUAAGUCGAGAGGAUAUUCUUCGAACACUGAGGGAAUGGUGACAGGAUAACACGGGAAAAAAGUUCUUUACUUUCUCAGGUUGAGACUUAGCAAUUGGCUAUGGUCCUAAGAAUGCUAACAGUUUACCAGAAAGUGUAAAGGGAAUGAGUACCUAUUUUUGCCAAAUGGAGAUUUUCUCUUUAGCCAUUGGUGGUUCAGGAACGAAAUCCCUUCCUUCAUCAGUUUCUGAUGUGAAAAUCGUGUAAGCCAUUAGAUUCUUCAUAGUAUCAAAUUUGUUGGCUAAAGUGUUGGCUGCCAUUGUUGAAAUUUAAAGAGUUUGCUUUGAAACAAGGGUUUUUCUGUGUGUGAAAAGUUGAGAGUGAAAGUAAAGAGGAUGAGAAAAAAGUAUCAUGGAAGUAUUUAUAGAGUAGCUUACCUUCGCAAUAACAGACGCUUGACGGACACGUGUUAAUGUGAGACGUUUUGUGUUUCAAGAAGUGGAAAAAAUUGAUGUGAGUGAAGCAGUUAAUGAGACGUGCAAAAGCAUGAUCUUCUAGAAAAUAAGAGUAAUGAUGGGAUUCUUAGAGGAUUUUCUGGAAAAUGACAAUGCACAGUAAAAUGGUAAUGAUGAUGAUGACGCCAGCAAGGGAUUUAGAACAAUGUCGAAAAUACAUUCAAAAAUGUCACCUUUCUCUUUUUUUAUAUGAAAUUGAAACAUGGCAUUUUGGAGGACAAUUUUGUUAUCUCAAAUUUUUGACAUUAGCAUUAAAAUUACAAGAUUGUGAUAAGAAUCAUAUAAUAAUGGUUCGUGAAAAGGCAAAAUGGUUAAUGAUGGUCCUGAAGAUUUUGACGAAUUCGAUUUUUUGACAAGGAGUUUUUACUAUGAUCGAAAUUGUAGAUGGUCAAAGAUCAAGAAGUUUUAGGACUUAGUGAAAUUCAGAGUUUCCAAGAUAUUAUCUAUGUAGUCGAAUGAGGUGUAAAUGGAUAAGAUAAAACAAUUAUUCAGAGACACAUGGAAGCUUGUCGAGGACAACGAUUGCAUGGAGAUGAAGACGUGGCGUGUGUUGUUUAGUCGAUCGUUAACUUAGGAUUAAUAUACAAGUAGGACUUACUUUGAGUUUUAUGGGUCCGCAAUUGUAUGCAAAUUCUACAAAACUCAAAGUAUUUGUGUGAUUGAGAAAAAAGUCAAAAAUGUAAGUAUGUGUUCCUUUUUUUACAGAUUAAAGUAUUCAUGUUCAAGUCAUUUAAUGCAAUUAAAUUACCGUCACUUUAUCUUAAUUUCUUUUACAUUUCAAUUUCAGUUUAAAUUCCAGUCACUGUUCUCAAAUUUUUGCAUUUCAACAUUGAUGUUAAAAUUGUUCAAAACUUAUGAUUCAGGCAAAUAUGUCAUAGGAUCUUUUCUAGUUUAAUCCCAUAAGGAAAUUAAAACUUUGUUUUUGUUUACUAAACUUCACAGUAAACAACCUGUCGAUGACGUACCGCCGUCGCCUCCUACAACUGACACUGGUGACUAACUGCGCCUCCAGAUGAUUGCAGUUAUUAUGGAUAACCUCAUGGAUUUGGUAAACCCAGAUGAUGAGGUUUAUAUUGGAUUAUCUCGUGCUGCACACGUUGCCCGUGGGAAGCCUAUUUAGACAUUAUUGUUACCUUUAUGUAUUAUUUGUAUAUUACAUGUAACAUUACUCAGACAUCUUCAUCAAAACUUUUUAUUAGAUAAUAUUUUUGAUCUUCCAUUGAUGCAACAUCAACAUAAACUAACAUUUGACAAUGAAUUACAUAACUUAAAAAAAAGUUGAUAAAUAAGAAAACUUAGACACUCCUAGAUAAUUAUGGAUGUUUCAUCAUCUUAAUUAUACCAUCGACAUACCUUGAAAUCUUAACAUUUAACUCGAUCGGUCCCUUUGUUAACAUACGACAAAAUGAUCUUCACACAUCCUUCACAUCUUCACUGGUCUUCAACUCAAUAAGGUUGUGUUUCACCCUUCCAUCAAUAUCAAUCAAAUCUUCACGAAACUCGAUCAAUAUCGAUAUUUCUGUUUUCAGUAUCAAGCAACAAUUCAUUCAACUUGGACUUCAAGACGACGAUAGACGUGGUGUCAUUGGGAAACUAGAACUCUACGAGAGGUGAAACUUCAUUGAAGUACACUUUUUCCUUAAUAAAAAAUAAAGAAAUAUGCAUUUUGAGAUGUUUGUAUCAAACAAUAGCUGACCCCUAUUUAUACAAAUUUGCAUUUAUUUUGGACCACACAAAACUGUCGGUACAAUCACAACCGUCCAAAACUAUCGGCAAAAUCCUAAGCAAUUAAAAUUUCAAACAAAUAACACUAUCGAAAAUUUUACUUAUAUUAUAAUUUUAGAAUUUUUGAUAUUAUUUGUAAAUGUCCAAAUUUUUUAUAAAUUUCCCGACGUAUUAAAAAUUUAAAAUACACAAUUAAAAAUUUAAUUUGUACUAAAAAUUCUGAUUUUCCUAUCGAAAACUUUGCAUAAAAAUUUGAUCUAAUUUUUUGUCAUAAGGAUAAGGAGGGUAGCAAAUUAAAUUCUGAAGAUAUGGGUUUAUCCGUAUCAAAUAAAAAUAAAAAUAACUAAAUAAAUAAUAAUAAAAAAGGGAAGUAGGUUGUGUACGUGGAAGCAGCGAAUUCAUAAUUUAUUUGUGGAUUGAUUUCAAAGUUACGUGGUCGAAAUGAUCGGUUUGAAGAUGAGGGAAUUCCAACUGGGAUUACAGAAGAACACACACGGCCCGCUUCAUUAUGCUACUUUAGAUUUUGACCAAUAACAAUGAGCUCAACGGUUAUUGUGUACUCAAACCAUACUCCUUUUGGAUUUCAACGGAAGCUCAACCCUCAUCGCCGCUUUCUACUACUAACUCCCAGGGCUACUGCUCCAAAUAACGACGAUGAUAAACCACAGCAGUCGCUUAGUCUCGACGACGUCAACCCGGUGGGACUGGGUCGAAGAUCGCGACAGUUAUUCGACGAUGUUUGGAGAAAAUUCUCUGGAUUGGGUCAGAUUUCUAGGACGAUCCGCACCGAUGAUCAGGACACCCUAGAUGCUCUUCUCGUCCGCGAAGGUCCUAUGUGCGAGUUUGCAGUUCCCGGCGCUCAGAAUACGACGGUUCUCGUUGUUGGUGCCACCAGCCGCAUCGGCCGCAUCGUUGUUCGGAAGCUCAUGCUCAGGGGUUACACCGUCAAGGCUUUGGUUAGGGAGGCAGAUAAAGAGGUGGUAGAGCUUCUUCCAAGGUCAGUAGAGAUAGUGAUUGGGGAUGUUGGUGAUGCUGCCACUGUCAAGGCUGCCGUACAAGACUCUAACAAAAUUAUAUAUUGUGCCACUGCCCGCUCUACUAUUACAGCGGAUCUCUUCAGGGUGGAUCAUCAAGGAGUUUAUAACAUGACUAAAGCAUUUCAGGAUCAUAAUAAUAAAUUGGCUCAGUUGCGAGCGGGCAAAAGCAGCAAAAGUAAGCUUACCGUUGCUAAAUUCAAAACUGAAUCUUCACUCAAUGGAUGGGAAACUCGCCAAGGAACUUACUUCCAAGACGUUCUUGCCACAAAAUAUGAUGGAGGGAUGGAUGCCAAAUUUGAGUUCACUGAGAAUGAACAAGCUGUUUUCUCAGGUAUUUUUGGGUAGGAUAUCAAUGAACAACACCAGUAGGUUUUGCAACAUUAUACAAGUACACAAAUUCUAUUUUUACCCCUAUAUUUUUAUUUUUAUUUUAGGGUAUGUCUUCAAUAGAGGUGGUUAUGUAGAACUGUCAAAAAAGCUUUCUCUACCUCUCGGUUCUACUCUUGAUAGGUACUAGAUACAUAUUUUGCUGAUAACAAAAUAGUUUGUAUUUUUGUAUAGAUAUGAAUUGCUAUCAUAAUGACUUCAUCUGCAAUGAUAGGUAUGAGGGCCUGGUUCUCUCUGUUGGUGGCAAUGGAAGAUCUUAUGUAUUAAUUCUAGAAGCGGGUCCUUCCGCGGAUCUAAGUCAGAGUAAACUGUAUUUUGCAAGAUUUAGUACAAAAGUCGGAUUCUGCAGGGUAACAAGCAAUCUCUCUUGAGUGCCACUAUAGCUUAACCAUUCCAACUAAGACACUCUUGAAAUUUAUUAUUUUGUUACUACGGAUGACAGAUUUAUCUGUAUUACUAUGACAGGUUAGAGUGCCAUUUUCAUCAUUCCGUCCUGUACAACCAGAUGAUCCAGUUUUAGACCCUUUUCUUGUACAUACAUUAACAAUACGGUUUGAGCCUAGAAGACAGGUUAUGUCCAAUUCCUUAAUGUUUUCAAUUCUUUUACUUAAAGUUGACUUCUGUUUUUGGACCUUGCACUUGUCUUGUCUCUGUCAUUGUAAUAUAAAUAACAUUUUUAUAAUAUCUUUCCGCAACAACUUUCCCUUCUUUGAUUUAAAAAUAUCUGGAUAAUGGGUGAGAGACAAAAAGGCCCUAGUGAUGCAGAAAAAUCAUGAGAAUAAACCACUACAACAUCUCGCCGUGAAAAAAUGUCAUACGAUAAGAGAAGGUUAUUGAGUAUUCCAAUCCAAAUGGAAGGCUAAACAAGGAAGACAUUUCAAUGUUACUAUUAUUCUGUAUGAUCAUGAUGAACACCGUGGAAAAUAUAUUCAACUCAAAUGUACCUCAUAGUUCUUCCUAGAAUGAAUAACAAGGUUGUGAACUCGCCAUAGCCACAUGGUGCUGACUGGAGUAGAGGUGUCACUCAGACCCUUUGCCCAUGGGAUAGGUACUAGAUACAUAGUUACAAAGAAGUUGGUCAGCUACAUAUAGCUGAGCUGACCUUAACCUGCAUACCCCGAGAGUUAUCCCGCACUAACUGCUGUUCUUUGGUUUAACACAGUUCAGAAGAAAAAAAAUACAAAAGCGAUAUUUUUUUAAUGUAGUUGGUCUUAGAAAGAUUUAGAAAUUAAAUAGUUGGAUUAAAACGUGAUAUAUGAUAGCCAAUUUCAUUAUGAAGACAGUUCUCAUUAUGAUGUUUGAUCCAAUUUCAUGUAGGCACCUCAUUUAGUGGGAUAAUAAUUGAUUGUUGAUUGUUGUAAUUGGCCUUUUAAGUUUCACCGUCCAUUUUGAAUCGAAUGUUUAAAAUUAAAACCAUAAGUUAUCAAAAAUAGAUUGACAUUGUUCGUUAUUUACACUACAUAGCAGGAAUAGUGUGUUUACCCCAUCCUACAUGUACAAACAUGAAGCCUUGUAUUUGGUUUACAUGUUCUGAAACUUUGUCUACAUUAUCAAGACACAUAAAUUCUUUGAAAUUUUGGUAACAAAUAAAGAUCAUAGGGCUUGAUGGAUGUACAUGUAGGUUGAGAUAAACACGUCAUUCCAGCCAUAGUGUAAAUAACAAACAUAUUUUUUGUAACAUAAUUUCUUUAAAAGGUUCACAGUGUACACUUAAACAAAUUAAAAGGACAAACUUGUUACAAACAUAAAACUUAAUAUUUGGCCUAUUGUUGAAUAUAUUAUAUUAAAAGAUUAAAAAAUAUUAUUUAAUUAUCACUGGUAAGAUCAUGGUUGAAGCCCAGUUGAACAUUUGAGCCGGUGCCUUUAUCGGUUCAAUAACCGGCCCAGUUUUCCGAACAUUGGUAAAAGGGCCUCGUAAUUUACAAAACAGAAAAAUGUAGUUUUAGGACAUUCAAGGUGAAUGGUGCUUUUUUGUCUACUAACACCUUUUAAUUUCCUUACAACUAUCCCUUAAAUUUCUCAGUGGACUGUUAUGCUUAUUAGUAUUAGACUAACAGGAUUUUGGAUUCUAACAACUUACUAAUCCCAUCUAUUCUUCCCACCAUAAACCUGAUUUGCUCCGGACAUUCUAACAGGUCCUUCUUAGCAACCAACCAACCAAUAGGGAGGUUGUUAACUUUUUAUCCAGUACAUUUUUAUGAGUAUCAUCUCCUUUCAGGUUAAAUACGUUAUGAUCUUCUAAAUACAGGCAAUAAAUUAUGAAGAUCCCCUAUUUCCUUGCUUUUGUUUACACGACAUUUCCC